AACCCGCGGUAUACCGCAGAGA
This 22-nucleotide small nuclear RNA is filed under the name Arabidopsis thaliana (thale cress). Its description in RNAcentral is "snRNA_01063". Lineage: Eukaryota; Viridiplantae; Streptophyta; Magnoliopsida; Brassicales; Brassicaceae. The record is from RNAcentral.